Molecule: long non-coding RNA, 473 nt
Filed under: Bos taurus (domestic cattle)
Lineage: Eukaryota; Metazoa; Chordata; Mammalia; Artiodactyla; Bovidae
Description: long non-coding RNA NONBTAT016450
Source: RNAcentral
AGCACUUUAUUUAAAGUUUUAUUUUAAAUCAUACAUAUCAAUUAUAUUGAAAUAAUUGGUAGCAAUCAUAAUCAGGUCUUUAUUUCUGCUAAUAUUUUUACUUGUGAAGAAUUCUUGUACAUCUAAAAUUCGGUGUAUUAGUUAAGAAAUAUUUAUUGAAUAGAUCUACAUGUAAGGAACCACAUUUAAAACUCUAUGCAAUGAUGAAAAAGCAUAACAUAAAGUACUAACAAUUAAGAAAUUUGCACUCUGGUUGUAGGGUUAAGAUAUGCAUUGCAAUAUCUGUAGGUCAGUAGAAUGACUGUGUAAUUAACAUCAGCAAAGUUGACUGGAUAAAAGAUAGAGUCAUUCAAAAGGGAAAAACAUCCUGAUUCACUGGACCAGCUGGAGAAAGGGGAGAGCCUGAGUCACAAGUUCAAAGUGAGCUUUACAUGGUCAAAGAGGGCAUUUCAACAUAGGCAAUUGUUGUGAGC